GUGGGGAAUAUUGGACAAUGGGCGAAAGCCUGAUCCAGCCAUGCCGCGUGUGUGAAGAAGGUCUUCGGAUUGUAAAGCACUUUAAGUUGGGAGGAAGGGCAGUAAGUUAAUACCUUGCUGUUUUGACGUUACCGACAGAAUAAGCACCGGCUAACUUCGUUCCAGCAGCCGCGGUAAUACGAAGGGUGCAAGCGUUAAUCGGAAUUACUGGGCGUAAAGCGCGCGUAGGUGGUUUUGUAAGUUGGAGGUGAAAUCCCCGGACUCAACCUGGGAACUGCCUCCAAAACUGCAUGACUAGAGUACGGUAGAUGGUAGUGGAAUUUCCUGUGUAGCGGUGAAAUGCGUAGAUAUAGGAAGGAACACCAGUGGCGAAGGCGACUACCUGGACUGAUACUGACACUGAGGUGCGAAAGCGUGGGGAGCAAACAGGAUUAGAAACCCGGGUAGUCC
Molecule: ribosomal RNA, 450 nt
Filed under: uncultured bacterium
Lineage: Bacteria
Description: partial 16S ribosomal RNA
Rfam family: Bacterial small subunit ribosomal RNA
Source: RNAcentral